UAUCUCUCUGUACAGGGAAGGAUGAGAAGCUUCGAUUAAGGUUCGACUCGAGCGGAAGCGAGAGAACGUUGCCAACGGCAACAGCCCGAAGGGCGCGACGCGCCGAGUCAUCCUUCCCCCACCAUAA
Molecule: small RNA, 127 nt
Filed under: Salmonella enterica
Lineage: Bacteria; Pseudomonadati; Pseudomonadota; Gammaproteobacteria; Enterobacterales; Enterobacteriaceae
Also listed under: 2 other names
Description: RtT sRNA
Rfam family: RtT RNA
About the family: This family represents a bacterial cis-regulatory element known as RtT RNA.
Source: RNAcentral